GACGAACGCUGGCGGCGUGCUUAACACAUGCAAGUCGAACGGAAAGGCCCUGCUUUUGUGGGGUGCUCGAGUGGCGAACGGGUGAGUAACACGUGAGUAACCUGCCCUUGACUUUGGGAUAACUUCAGGAAACUGGGGCUAAUACCGGAUAGGGGCUCCUGCUGCAUGGUGGGGGUUGGAAAGUUUCGGCGGUUGGGGAUGGACUCGCGGCUUAUCAGCUUGUUGGUGGGGUAGUGGCUUACCAAGGCUUUGACGGGUAGCCGGCCUGAGAGGGUGACCGGCCACAUUGGGACUGAGAUACGGCCCAGACUCCUACGGGAGGCAGCAGUGGGGAAUAUUGCACAAUGGGCGGAAGCCUGAUGCAGCAACGCCGCGUGCGGGAUGACGGCCUUCGGGUUGUAAACCGCUUUCGCCUGUGACGAAGCGUGAGUGACGGUAAUGGGUAAAGAAGCACCGGCUAACUACGU
This 467-nucleotide ribosomal RNA is filed under the name uncultured bacterium. RNAcentral describes it as "partial 16S ribosomal RNA". It matches the Rfam family "Bacterial small subunit ribosomal RNA", at positions 28 to 506 of the family's 1533-position model. The record is from RNAcentral.